Brassica napus (rape) is the source of this 866-nucleotide long non-coding RNA. RefSeq lists it as uncharacterized. The transcript is spliced from 3 exons. The record is from RefSeq and is a predicted model, not a curated record. Lineage: Eukaryota; Viridiplantae; Streptophyta; Magnoliopsida; Brassicales; Brassicaceae.
GAGGAGAAAAAGAAAUUGAAGUCGACGAACGAGAUGGAGUCGGUGCUCUCAAUAUGUGCUCGUCUCGUCCUCGAAGAAUCUCGUCGUCGCCUCGUCCUAAUUCUGAAGAACUCCGACCCCGAAAAAAUCUCCGAUUUCUGAAAUUUUUUGUCAAUAAUUCGUUACAACUUUGGAGUCUUUUUCUGGGCUUUCUCGACUUUGCUUGUUUUGAUUCUAAUGUGUCUCCUACGUGCGACAUCGGCUCUUCACAGACUUCCUUGCUCUGUUCUAAUCACGUUUUGUCUUUGUGACUUUGUGUGUUCUGUGUUAAGAGCUGCUGUACUGAGAUCAUCUGAAGAAAUCAUUAAUAGCAGGAGCUAGUUGCAAGAAGAAUUAGGACAAGGCGACGAAGGUUUAAGUAAUAACCAUGAAUGUUCAGGCUCACAUGUCGGGACAACAACGAUCUGGGCAGUCUCCAAACCAAGGGAAUAACGGGAACUCUCAAAUGUAGAACUUAGUUGCUGCUUCGGCUGGUGCUGGUUGGUAGCGUAGGGCCUUCACGUAGCACCGUUGGUCCGAUGGACCAUGAUAUCUAAGACGUUCUUCUUUGUUGAGCUCGAUCCUCAGUGGGCUGGAAUAUGCAAUGGCAUGGCUGCUGGUGUGAUGUUGGCCGCUAGCUUUGAUCUUGUGAACAUGUUGUGUAUCACGGGAUGUAUUUGUGAUGAAGUGUAGAGUCACAUGCUUGUAGUCUUGUUGUGAACAUGUUGUGUUGUAUCACGGGAUGUAUUUGUGAUGAAGUGUUGAGUCACAAAAUCUUUAUAAAUAAUGUAUUCAAAGCAUUGUUUUCGAUCAUAAACCACAAUCUGAAACAUUUCUUUCAUCACAAA